UACGUAGGGUGCAAGCGUUGUCCGGAAUUAUUGGGCGUAAAGAGCUCGUAGGCGGUCUGUCGCGUCGGCUGUGAAAACCCGGAGCUCAACUCCGGGCCUGCAGUCGAUACGGGCAAACUGGAGUACUGCAGGGGAGACUGGAAUUCCUGGUGUAGCGGUGAAAUGCGCAGAUACCAGGAGGAACACCGGUGGCGAAGGCGAUCACCUGGGGUUGUUCUGACGCUGAAGAGCGAAAGCUAGGGGAGCAAACGGG
RNAcentral lists this ribosomal RNA (253 nucleotides) under uncultured prokaryote. RNAcentral's name for it is "partial 16S ribosomal RNA". It matches the Rfam family "Bacterial small subunit ribosomal RNA", at positions 524 to 776 of the family's 1533-position model. The record is from RNAcentral.